Molecule: transfer RNA, 67 nt
Filed under: Aeolesthes oenochrous
Lineage: Eukaryota; Metazoa; Arthropoda; Insecta; Coleoptera; Cerambycidae
Description: tRNA-His
Rfam family: tRNA
About the family: Transfer RNA (tRNA) molecules are approximately 80 nucleotides in length. Their secondary structure includes four short double-helical elements and three loops (D, anti-codon, and T loops).
Source: RNAcentral
UAUUCAGGUAGUUUAAUGUAAAACAUUGACUUGUGGCGUCAAAGAGGCAAGAUUUUGUUCUGGAUAA